GAUCAACGCUGGCGGCGCACAUAAGACAUGCAAGUUGAACGGACUUAAUCGAAAUAUUUAUAUUUUGAAGCGGUUAGUGGCGGACUGGUGAGUAACGCGUAAGGAACCUGCCUAUUAGAGGGGAAUAACAGUGAGGAAUCAUUGCUAAUACCGCAUAUGCCAUAGAUAUCACAUGAUAACAGUGGGAAAGGAGCAAUCCGCUAAUAGAUGGCCUUGCGUCUGAUUAGAUAGUUGGUGGGGUAACGGCCUACCAAGUCGACGAUCAGUAGCCGGACUGAGAGGUUGAACGGCCACAUUGGGACUGAGAUACGGCCCAGACUCCUACGGGAGGCAGCAGUCGGGAAUAUUGCGCAAUGGAGGAAACUCUGACGCAGUGACGCCGCGUAUAGGAAGAAGGUUUUCGGAUUGUAAACUAUUGUCGUUAGGGAAGAGAAAGGACAGUACCUAAGGAGGAAGCUCCGGCUAACUACGUG
RNAcentral lists this ribosomal RNA (473 nucleotides) under uncultured bacterium. RNAcentral's name for it is "partial 16S ribosomal RNA". It matches the Rfam family "Bacterial small subunit ribosomal RNA", at positions 28 to 507 of the family's 1533-position model. The record is from RNAcentral.